AGUCAGAUGUGGAUAUGAGUGAAGUAUGGGAGUGAGAAUGUUGGCAGGCGUAGCGAGAUGUGGGUGAGAAUCCCACAGGCCGUAAACCCAAGGUUUCCAGGGGAAGGUUCGUCCGCCCUGGGUUAGUCGGGACCUAAGCUGAGGCCGAAAGGCGUAGGUGAUGGACAACAGGUUGAUAUUCCUGUACUACCGAUAACCGUUUGAGAGAAGGGAUGACACAGUAGGAUAAGCUAAGCACACUGUUGGUUAUGUGUGCCCAAGCAUUGAGGCAGUCAAAGUAGGCAAAUCCGCUUUGAUAAUGCUGGGAUGUGAUGGGGAGCGAAAUUUAGUAGCGAAGUAGCUGAUUUCACACUGUCAAGAAAAGUCUCUAUCGAGGUUAAAGGUACCCGUACCGCAAACCGACACAGGUGGGUGAGGAGAGUAUCCUAAGGCCAGCGAGAGAACUGUUGUUAAGGAACUCGGCAAAAUGACCCCGUAACUUAGGGAUAAGGGGUGCCACCAUCAGGUGGCCGCAGAGAAUAGGCCCAAGCGACUGUUUACCAAAAACAUAGGUUUCUGCUAAGUCGCAAGACGAUGUAUAGGAGCUGACGCCUGCCCGGUGCUGGAAGGUUAAGGGGAUCUGUUAGAG
Molecule: ribosomal RNA, 628 nt
Filed under: Clostridioides difficile
Lineage: Bacteria; Bacillati; Bacillota; Clostridia; Peptostreptococcales; Peptostreptococcaceae
Description: bacterial LSU rRNA
Rfam family: Bacterial large subunit ribosomal RNA
Source: RNAcentral